AGAAGGCCGCAAAUAAGCCCAAGGGUCAGAACUCUAUGGCCUUACACAAAAUCAUCAUGGUGGACAGUGGUGGUGUGGGCAAGUCCGCUCUGACUCUAUGUUUCAUGUACGAUGAGUUUGUGGAGGAAUAUGAGCCUACCAAAGCAGACAGCUAUCGGAAGAAGGAGCUCAGGAUGGGGAGGAAGUACAGAUCUAUAUCAUAAAUACAGCUGGGCAGGAGGACUACACUGCAAUUAAAGACAACUACUUCCACUGUGUCUUCUCUAUUACAGAAAUGGAAUCCUUUGCAGCUACAGUUGACUUCAAGGAGCAGAUUUAAGAGUAAAAAAAGAUGAGAAUAUUCCAUUUCUACUGGUUGGUAACAAAUCAGAUUUAGAAGAUAAAAGGCAGGUUUCUAUAGAAGAGGCAAAAAACAGAGCUGACUAGUGGAAUGUUAUCUAUGUGGAAACAUCUCCUAAAACAUGAGCUAAUGUUCACAAGGUAUUUUUUGACUUAAUGAGAGAAAUUCGAGUGAGAAAGAUGGAAGGUGACAAAGAGUGGAAAAAGAAGAGGAAAAGUUUAGCCAAGACAAUCAGAGAAAGAUGCUGCAU
This 590-nucleotide long non-coding RNA is filed under the name Homo sapiens (human). RNAcentral's name for it is "non-protein coding lnc-ABCB5-2:1". Lineage: Eukaryota; Metazoa; Chordata; Mammalia; Primates; Hominidae. The record is from RNAcentral.